This 441-nucleotide ribosomal RNA is filed under the name uncultured bacterium. Its description in RNAcentral is "partial 16S ribosomal RNA". It matches the Rfam family "Bacterial small subunit ribosomal RNA", at positions 28 to 507 of the family's 1533-position model. The record is from RNAcentral.
GAUGGACGCUGGCGGCGUGCCUAAUACAUGCAAGUCGAACGGGGAGUAGCAAUACUCUUAGUGGCGAACGGGUGAGUAACGCGUUGGUACCUGCCCCGAAGCGGGGGAUAACGGACCGAAAGGUCCGCUAAUACCCCAUGUGCUCGGUAACGAGUAAAGGUGAAAACCACUUUGGGAGGGGCCUGCGUCCCAUCAGCUAGUUGGUAAGGUAACGGCUUACCAAGGCGAUGACGGGUAGGGGACCUGAGAGGGUGGCCCCCCACAAUGGAACUGAAACACGGUCCAUACACCUACGGGUGGCAGCAGUAGGGAAUAUUGGUAAUGGGCGCAAGCCUGAACCAGCAACGCCGCGUGUGCGAUGACGGCCUUCGGGUUGUAAAGCACUUUUGACUGGGACGAGGAAGGACGGUACCGGUCGAAUCAGCCUCGGCUAACUACGUG